Molecule: unclassified non-coding RNA, 314 nt
Filed under: uncultured Tremellomycetes
Lineage: Eukaryota; Fungi; Basidiomycota; Tremellomycetes
Description: sequence contains 5.8S rRNA gene, ITS2, 28S rRNA gene
Rfam family: 5.8S ribosomal RNA (bases 1-52)
Source: RNAcentral
AACGCACCUUGCGCUCCUUGGUAUUCCGAGGAGCAUGCCUGUUUGAGUGUCAUGAAAACCCUCAACCCUAGAUUGGUUAAAACCUUUCUUUGGUUUGGAUUUGGACGUUUGCCGAUGAUAAGUCGGCUCGUCUUAAAAGUAAUAGCUGGAUCUGUCUCGCGACAUGGUUUGACUUGGCGUAAUAAGUAUUUCGCUAAGGACAUCUUCGGAUGGCCGCGUUGCAGGACUAAAGACCGCUUUCUAAUCCAUUGAUCUUCGGAUUAAUACUCUUGACAUCUGGCCUCAAAUCAGGUAGGACUACCCGCUGAACUUAA